CUGUCCUUAGUUGCCAUCAUUUAGUUGGGCACUCUAAGGAGACUGCCGGUGACAAACCGGAGGAAGGUGGGGACGACGUCAAGUCAUCAUGGCCCUUACGCCUAGGGCUACACACGUGCUACAAUGGCGAUUACAAUGGGCAGCGAAAGGGCGACCUGGAGCGAAUCCCCAAAAAUCGUCUCAGUUCGGAUUGCACUCUGCAACUCGAGUGCAUGAAGGCGGAAUCGCUAGUAAUCGCGGAUCAGC
Molecule: ribosomal RNA, 246 nt
Filed under: Schmidingerella taraikaensis
Lineage: Eukaryota; Ciliophora; Spirotrichea; Tintinnida; Rhabdonellidae
Description: partial Bacterial small subunit ribosomal RNA
Rfam family: Bacterial small subunit ribosomal RNA
Source: RNAcentral